CCGCCUGCCCCUUAAAUACUUUCCGCAUAGCUCUGCAACCAAGUAUUACGUGAUGAGUCAAAGAGAUAAGGACACCUCGGUGACAAUGAGCCGGCUGUGCUUUUGUUUUGGCUGGUACUUUUAUGACAGCAGCUAUGGAAACUUAUAUUAUCAACAUUAUAUUAUCGGCGGUCUAAGCAAUACUCGCUGAAAUUCUGCACCUCCCAAAGCUGGUAUUUUGCAAGACAAGUUGUUAACUGGACAGGAACAGAAGGACCAAGUUACUCAUCAUUUUCAGCCCUUACCAGUUACUAGAGCAUGUGGGAUAUCUGUGGAUGAUGGCAAGAGAGCAGUUGCUCUUAACUGUGCAGAAGAUCCACUUUUCUAGCAGGGAUCCACCCUUGGACCUGGGAUUUCAGUAGACCUACAUCAAGGGCUGCAGGGAGCCUGAACCCUUUCCCAGGAAGCAUAAGGGAUCGUGCAGGAGAACAUCCUCACAAACAGUAGAGAUGCCAGUUUGCCUAACUGCAAGUCCCUUUGAAUACAGGAGAACCUGGAGGAAACCCACAUAAUGGCAAGGAUUCGACUGCUUUUGCAUCAUAUGAAAUCUUUAGGGUCUAACCAUUACACAGUCAGGGCAACUGCCAUGGGGCAAGCAAGACCAGCUCCAGCAGCUUACCGCUAUAGUGCCACAAUUAGCCUAGGUGGACCUGGAAAUAGAAAGUUGGGCAUCUCCAUUACCCUCAUGAGACUGUGUUCUACCUUUGCAUGUACAUAAUUCACUUCAUCUAAAAAAAAAAACCCAAAAAGGCUCCGGUCAGCUUCCUCCAUCCUCAACACUUCCCAGUCGCCGAUGGUUCUAUCCCAUCAUGCAUUUCAAGCAGGGAAACAAACGUCACCGUCCCCUCUGCAGAUGAUGUAGUGACCAGAUGCGAAAAAGCAUGGAGAAUGACCUCAUCUCUCAGCAUUUGGAAUACCAGCAGCAGCAAUUAAACCACAAAAUAAGGCCUAUACCUUCAGCAUGACUGGGUCAAGGGGUAUGGCUGUCUGUUCCUGUGCUUGAGUCUCUCAAUGUCACUCUGCGCUACAUCGGUUCCUGUGCUGUAGAAGAUCCAGUUCCCUAGCAGGGGUCAACCCUUGUACAUGGGACCUCAGUAGACCAAUAUGAAUGGGGCAACUCAAUGGCUUAUCCACACAUUGUACUGUAACCAGAUUUCUCCUCUUUUCCUGAUUCUCUGGAAUGGCAAGAUUCCGUAGUAUCCUGUGAAUUGGGAAGGCUGCAUUCCAGAGGAACAUUUGUGGCUGCUGUCAAAUCCUGGAAGUGGCCCUAAUUCGGGAUUUCCAUGAGCAGCAAGUGGCGCUAAUGAGAUCAGUCCAACGACACAUCACUGUGUUCUGUGCAAGGAUCAUUACAUGAGUAAAAUCACACAGAUGUAUCUGUUUAAGGUAACAUGUCAUUUGUCUUUGCAUCUUGAGACUGUUUUUUGUGGGUGCAGAUAUUGCCUGAGUAUUCCAGCCUACUUUCUUCCCAUGUAGGAUAUCUUAUAUUAUGAAUAGUUUAUUUUUUGACUCUCUGAGCUUCCUUCCGUUUUUGUCUGCCCUCUUGGAGUUUAUUUUUUUGUCAGUAAAGACUAUUGCAUUGUCUCGCUCGCGGCCCGUUCUUUCCUCUGAAAUUGUGCUCACCUUAUUGCGGAUACCUGACAGCUAGGCUCACUUAGAUGCUUGUUAGUGUGAGUAGCUGAAUUCCUUCUACAUUGUACAUUUUUAGCACAUUCACCUAUAUUGAUACUGAUGUUUAUCUUAUAUUAUGCUCCUGUCUCAGUAUUGUACUCUUUUUAUGUGGAACAUUUAAUGUUGACUAUUUCAAUUUAGCUGUAAAUUAAGUGAUGGCUACUUUGUUAUUACAUUCUUCAUCUUCCCCUUGUCUUGCUAACUUCAUAUUUCCGUUGUACUUCUUUAAGAUGUAGUAAUGACGGUGAACAUUUUUUUUUUGCAUAGGGCAUUACGGUAACCCUCGAACCCUAACACAAGCUUGAACUUUUGCCCUAGCCCUAACCCUAAUAGCAACCUUACAUUUCAAAUAUCUAUAAUUGUCAAUAGUAUCAUUAUAAAAUGCUACAUAGAACAUAUAGGGUAUUAAAGGAACAUUCUUGUUUCCCUUCCUGUUUACCCUCUACACAUCACACAUAGUUCUUUCCACCUACAGAAAUCCUCUGACGACAACUCCUUUGUAGGAUACAUCAACGACGGAGAUGAGUCAGCGUACAGAGGACUAGCAAACGACUUUGUCUUACAGUGCAAGGAGUACAACCUGCAGCUCAACAUCAGGAAGGCAAAGAGGCUGGUGGUGGACUUCCGGAGUAACAUGGAGCCCCCAAGAUCAGUCAUUAUAUGGAGGAAGGAACUGCAGGUGCUGCGGGGCUACAUGAAUCUGGGGGUUCAUCUGAACAACAGACUGGCCUGGGUGGACAACACAGUGGCGUUAUACAAGAAAGGCCAGAGCAGACCCUACUUUCUGAGUAGGCUAAGGUCCUUUAACAUGUGCAGCAAACUGUUGUGUAUAUUUCAUCAGCCUGUAAUGGCGAACAUGUUUUUCUAUGUUGUGGUCCUGCUGGGGAACUGGAAGAAGUUCAGCUGAUGCCAAAUGCCUGAACAAAAUUCAUCAGCAGCUAUGACCUGAUUUCAAAUGGGAUUUUCCUAGCUUCAUGAGGACUGCUUGGUCUAUAUUAAAAAAUAAAAGACUCCAGGAGACACUGAUCUAGGGGACUAUCACAUUUUCAAUCCAUUUAAAGAGACUCUGCUUGGUUAGAAGUUUUACCUCUGAUGAUGAGGUUGAGGAAGCAGUGCAGACCUGGUUUCGGGAGAAGCUGAAAAGCUUGUUCUCUCAAGGAAUGAAGAAGUUAGUGGAAUGAUACAAGAAGUGCAUCGACCUUCAGGGAGACUAUGUGAUGAAAUGAUGAGCCUCCAAGGCUACUCUUUCAUUGUUGCGUCAUCAAAUUGCAUUAAUUGAGGCAAAAAAAUUUAAGUCCACUUUCUUGGCUUUCUAUCUGAAUCAGAUGUUGACAGAUGGAAGCCAGGGACAGAAAGUUGGAGAAGUUUAGUGUGUUGCCAUUCUGGAAUGAUGGUAUUAAAUGCUGAGUUACAGUCUGUUAAUCUUCCGCUUGUGGCCUCAGACCAGCCUCAUGUGUUACUUUGUAUUUAUUGAUUUUCUGUUAUUUCCUAGCGUUUGUUAGUUAUUUUUGCUUUCCUGUUUUCAGUUUGCCCUGCUUGUGUCCUGUUGGUUUUGAUUUUGCUUGUACAGUAUGUGUUCCUUUUACUGUUAUCCCUCAGUGCUUUGCUAACGUUCCGUAGUUCUAUGUUUAUUAUUAGUUACUCUACCUGUUGCCUGUUUCACUGUUCUAGUUAUUUCAUUGUUCCAUCUGUUGCUCAUUAUCCUACACCCUCCACAAUUAGUUGAUUGUUUUGAUGAUUCACACCGUGUCUCGUAAGUCCUCGUUAUCUGUGUCAGUCAUCAUAUUAGGUGCCUAUACUGUAAGAUGUUACUCUGUGUGCUAAUGGUGCUGCGUGUUGUUACUUAGCCUGUUUCUGAAGUUCCUUGAGUUCCUUGAGGUGCCUGGUUCUCUGUGUAGGUUUAUCUAUGGGUCUGUUUGUAAUGUUUACCCCUGUUUAGUUCAGACCGCUUGUGGUCCUGUUAUUGUCUCAGAGCCUCAAGUGGAUCAUCAUCUUCUUUCGCACCUGUGCCAUACUGCACUGCAACAGUACCUUGCAUAUCUCCAGUGACCUGCUGAAGGUUUGAGUGAAGUUGCAAGCCAGUUGGUCAGCACAGACUUUCAGGAGUCUGGAUUGACACAUGCCAACUGGCCAAGCAAUCCAGGCCAUGUGGGAAGUUGACUCAUUGGAGGAUUACGGCCAUUUCCCUGCUCUGGUUGGAAAGGAGGAAAUACUCCAAGGACUUCAUCUUCAGAAGAUCAUGUCCUUCACCCUGUAUCUGGUGCCAUCUGCCGCAACUGUAAAAGCGGGAGUACCUGAAGAUUGAAAGCAGAAUCAGUGGUUCAGUCGAAGAAUAAGGCAUGAAAGGCAAGCAGAUAUUACUGUUUUUCAACUUAUGAGAACGCUCUGAAAUGAAUCCCUUUUGAUGACAUACAUUUUUUUUAUGGUGCAGUGUAGCAUUAUGGAAAUUGAUCAAACUCACUUCAUGUGACACCACAUCACUGAAACAUUAGAAAACAACUGGCACGUAAGAUAUUUUGCCUUGGUGAGGGAUUACCUAUAUUGGUAGCCAAUGGGCCAUUUUUUCUGUGCAAUUUUCCUAUAGCCAGCCACACAAGAGGCUUGCUGUUAUGCAGUAAUUGAUUGUUUUGCCAAUACUGCCGUCGUCUGGUUUCUGGAUUGCGCCGAUGCCCGCUCCUUCUUGCUGGAACGCAGGGGCAUGUGUCGGGCAGAUGGCACGCCGGUUAUGCCAGGAGAGAUUACUACGGUGCCAAGCACAAUGAAAUGUACAUGCUGACAGCAGAAGCCAAACCAGUUCCCAUAUCAUGGGACGGGUUCUGGCUUCCCAUUUCCCCAAGGCUGGAACUAGAACUCAUGAUAUGCAGCAUAUAUCUUACGACACUAUGCUACAGGAUGAUGGUAACAGGUCAGAGAGUGUCAGCAUAAUGAUGAACCAGUAACUGGUUAUUAAUGAAGCAAUAAGCUCUCACUCUAAAUGUCCAUAAAAAGAGGCAAAUGAGAAUUACACCGCGAAUCAAAAUUAUUGCAUAUAUAACACUUAUCUUGCGAACGGAUGAGACAGUACCUGAUGAAAUGCCCCUUGUUUGGUCAUUUAUAUUUCCCAUUUGCCUUUUAAAAUAGUAAAUUGGACCUACAGUAAAUUGUACCAUUAUUGCCCUCUGAAUAUCAAUUCUAUUUCCUUGCAAUCAAAUGUCUGGUUGGAAUUAUGGAGAAUAGUACAGUACUGCUUAAAAAAGAAAUGAAUCCAUAUAGUAAUGUAUUAUAAAUGCAGGUUCUGAUAAAUCAAUAGUAAAUCACACUUUAAAAAAUGCAUAGUUGCCACUCCGUAUUAAUAUCCACAGAGAAUACCUGUAUUAACAUCACUUAGAGGUUCCUUGGUUAAGCAGCUGUAAAUGUUGCAUUAAAGACUUUAAUAAUGCUCAAUAUAAGAACUUUGAUUAAAGACUCCAGAUUCCCUUCUUUUACUCAUGUCACCUCCGACUUAAUCAAUACUAGAAGUCACACACUCAAUAUAUACUGAGCAGCAAAUAUUGCUCUGGGGUCAGUCUUGUUGCUCCCACAGUACAGAGUUGCUCCUCGUCUUCUGUAUUUAGUAAGUACUGUAGUAUGUCUGUGUCCAUAUGGAUGAUCAUACUGGUGUUUUUUGUAUUCUGUGCACUGGAUUUGAUUACCUCCCUUCUCCAGCAACCAUCCACACUUGAGUCUUUUUCCUAUGCACCUCUUGUCUAGUCAGGAGCUGUGAGGUUUCAUGGUUCCCUGCUUCCUGCUUUGUUCGUCAGCCAGGAGACUUGGCAUUCUCAGGGCCAUGGUUUAAUCCACGCUGUUUUGCACCUGUACUUCAUCUGAUCUUACAACAAAAUAACUUGUUUUACCAAACCUUGAGUCCUGCCAUGACAUUUCAGUCUAGAGGUUCUUUGUGUGUUCGUUAAAUGGUUUUCUAAAACCUCAUCCCACCAUCAGAACCAGAUAAGACAAGUUUAUUUUUUCAAAACACCAUUCAAGCAUAAACAUCAUCCAGGGAAUUUCAACAGGGACCCGUUUACAAGUCAAUGAUUGCAGUACAAACAAAGAACUUCUUUAUGGUGGUCAGGGCUCAGGUGUUCUGUAGUAUCAUCUCCCAAAAGAGCUCACACACCUGCAUCGUUCCCAACCGGCCGUCUCCUGUCUCACCCUGAAAACUCUGGCACACUUCCUAGCGAACAGCUUCUGACAUCUCACUAUUAUGGAAAAUAACAAGCAAACUUUCCCCCAUAGCCUCACUAAGGCAGUCGGUAGUUCCUUUCACUUUCUACAGACCCAAGAGCCACAAUUCUACUCACUUAUCAGAGAAGCCCCACACAUCUUUGCUCCAGAAAAAGCAUAUUGCUCUCAGUAGUGUUUUAGUGCGUCAGGUUUCCUACCGUAAUUCAAUCACUUCUUGCCUCCAGCCUGGGGUGUUGGAGGGGCAUGGAUACCCUGAUCAAUUCGGGGGGGGGGGGAACAAAAUCUACCAAAGGGGA
Paramormyrops kingsleyae is the source of this 6209-nucleotide non-coding RNA. NCBI's taxonomy places the organism in Eukaryota, Metazoa, Chordata, Actinopteri, Osteoglossiformes, Mormyridae. The record is from RefSeq and is a predicted model, not a curated record.